Cydia pomonella (codling moth) is the source of this 4160-nucleotide long non-coding RNA. RefSeq lists it as uncharacterized. The record is from RefSeq and is a predicted model, not a curated record. The transcript has 2 exons. NCBI's taxonomy places the organism in Eukaryota, Metazoa, Arthropoda, Insecta, Lepidoptera, Tortricidae.
GGGGGGGACACACUUUUUUUCACUUUGGAAGUGUCUCUCGCGCAAACUAUUCAGUUUAAAAAAAAAAUGAUAUUAGAAACCUCAAUAUCAUUUUUAAAGACCUAUUCAUAGAUACCCCACACGUAUAGAUUUGAUGAAAAAAGAUUUAUUGAGUUUCAGUUCUAAGUAUGGGGAACCCCCAAAAUUUAUUGUUUUUUUUCCUAUUUUCGUGUAAACAUCUUAAUGCGGUUUAUAGAAUACAUCUACUUACCAAGUUUGAACGCUCUUAUAGUUUCGGAAAAAAGUGGCUGUGACAUAAUCGGACAGACAGACGGACAUGACGAAUCUAUAAGGUUUCCGUUUUUUGCCAUUUGGCUACGGAACCCUAAAAAUGUACUCUCCCAUAGAAAAUGUCAAGGUACAGCCAAAAUGUAUCGAACAGUCAAUUUUUUUUCGUGAUUUCGGGGUUGGUCCCAUGGUGAAAGUUGCUCAGUACCUUCAUUCUCGAUAGAUCCAGUCUAUAGAUCCAAACUGGAUCUAGUGAGUAAUGUUUUUCUUGUUAGAUCCAAAUAUUUAUGUUGACAGUUAAAACUGGAUCUAUAGGGAAAAUAAUUUAUAUCAUUAGAUCCAUUAAAUUAUACUAUUAUCAAAAUGGAUCUAAAGAGAUUUUUUUCAUCUCAAUAGAUCCAACAUGCAAUACACACUACCUGUACCUAGUAUGACCUAUAUAUUCACCCCGUAAAUUAUUGCAGGCGACUAAUUAAACACCCUGUAUGUGUGUAGAUAAAGCAGUAACUGUACAUAAUUAGGCAUUAAAACACUUGUUUGAUCCUUUUAUGAAACUCGCUUCGUUUCAUAAACCCACACUCGUGUUUUAAUGGCUCUCAUUAUGUAACAGUCACAUAAACUUCUAUUUUAGUUUGUAUGCUUUCUUUAUUAAUAACGAGCGGUGGCCGAGUGGAUCUGACGUCUGAUUUAAUCCGGAGGUCGCGGGCUCAAAUCCUGGCUCCUAUGUACGGAAUAUCAUUUGAUAUUUACCACUAGCUUUCGGUGAAGGAAAACAUCGUGAAGAAAUCGACAUACAUUCGCGAAGAAAUUCAAAGGUGUAUUUGAAGUCACUAACCCGUAUUGGGUCAGCGUGGGGACUAUAGCCCCAGCCCUCUCGCAUAUGAGGAGGCCUGUGCCCAGCAGUGGGACGUAUAUAGGCUGCAUAUUUUAUUUACCUCUGAACUGAACGUUGAUUACGUACAUGUUAGAUUUAACAACUAUGAAAUUUUCAUUAUACUUAAUUAAUUAAUGUAUUUACAGUACAUAUGGUGCUACUUUACCGCACUAGUGCGAAAAUUUGCAUAUUACGUUACUGUGUCGAACAUUUAAAGGGCCAUAUUAUUAUGUACUGUAAAACGUUGUACAGUCAGCGUCAAAUACUUAGUAGCAGUCAAAGUAGCUAAAUAGUUCGGUACACCAUACUAAAUAUAUGGUGUACCGAACUAUUUGGCUACUUUGGUUGCUACAAAGUAUUUGACGCUGACUGUACGAUACAUGUGCGAAUAGGUAAUUCGCAACUCGUGUCGAUUUAAAACACUCCCUUCGGUCGUGUUUAAUUUAUCGCCACUCGUUUCGAAUUUCCUAUUUUUCGCACUUGUAUCGUAAUAUACUAUUAACUACUAAAUUUUGCAUUUAUAAUGAGAUAGUUCUUACUUAUUUUAUGUCAUGACAGCUGUCUUAUUUUCUUAAAGUAAGGACACUAAGCACAAAGAAUUUCGUACAUUACCUCGUCCGAUACUAUCUCUCACGCGUCAAUGACACCGCGAGCGGACAAAGAGAAAUUGAAAUAGAGUUGGAUUGUCAAAAGAAACUUUGUAUAGGUAAAAAACUUAAGUAAGUCACCUGUUGUAUGUAGUUGUGACGUGUUCGAAUAGACAAUACAUGUUUAAAAGACACACACAAACAAAACAAAUGUCUAUUCGAACACGUCACAACUACAUGCAACAGGUGACUUACUUAAGUUUUUUACCUGUAGCCACAGUUAAUUUACUGCCAUCUUUCGACACAUAAUUAAAACUUUUAGAACGCCAGUUGACUUUGAUCCUUUCUUUCUUCCUAGCGUUGUCCCGGCAUAUUGCCACGGCUCAAGGGAGCCUGGGGUCCGCUUUGACAACUAAUCCCAAGAUUUGGCGUAGGCACUAGUUUUUACGAAAGCGACUGCCAUCUGACCUUCCAACCCAGAGGGUAAAACUAGGCCUUGUUGGGAUUAGUCCGGUUUCCUCACGAUGUUUUCCUUCACCGAAAAGCGACUGGUAAAUAUCAAAUAACAUUUCGUACAUAAGUUCCUAAAAACUCAUUGGUACGAGCCGGGGUUUGAACCCGCGACCUCCGGAUUGCAAGUCGCACGCUCUUACCGCAGAGCCACCAGCGCUUCAAGUUGACUUUGAUCCUAUAAUAUCUAAAAGUGGCGCCAUCUAAAAAAUCAAAGUGCAAAGGUAUGGCGGCGUCGCCACAACCUUAUCCGAUGCCCGGUAAGAUGGCGUCACUUUUUGAUAUUUAACAAAUUUAACCUCCUAACACCCUGAGUACAAAUAUUUGUACAUAUUCCAAAAUCUAUUUUGAACUUUUAUUAUGUAACUAAGGGUUCCAAAUUCAAAAACAAAACAAUUGCUUCUGGGUCUCAGGAGGUUCACAUAUCAGUGAAAUAUUAAGGAUCAAAGUCAAAUAGCGUUCUAAAAGUUUUAAUCAUGUGUCGAAAGAUGGCAGUAAAUUUACGUGGCUACAAUGUUUUCUUUGAUAAUCCACCUCUGUUUUAAAUUCUCUUCAGGCGGGUCAAUGUACAAAAUUCUUCGUGCCUAGUAUAUAGCAAAGAUACAUUGCUUAAGUAAGAUGUGUAAAAUCUAAGACAAUUUCGUGUUUCGAAUUUGACAGGUAAACGAGAUGGCGCUGUACAGCUCCAUACAUUUUGUGGUAACUCUGAUUGUCAAAAAUUGACGUUUGACAAUUCAGUGACCGCAAAACAUAUGGAGCAGUACAGCGCCAUCUGUUUUGGGUUUUGGAUGUCAAAUUAAGAGGCAUGUUUUUUCUUAGAAUUUACCUCUUAAGAGGCUGUCAACACCCAAUGUCCUUGAAAUUGAUGUUACUUAAACAGUUUUUUAGGAAAGACUAUUUGUUUUAGUCAAGUGAGAAAAAUUUAUGUUCAUAUUAAUUAUAUUUCAAAGACCGUGGUUGUACUCGAUACACGAUUGAACGAAAUCGGCUCGAUAGAAAAUAAUUGCAAAGAUUGGUCUUAAAAUCACAAACGGUUUUAUGUCUUUAUUGUUUUGACUUAUGGGUCUGCAAUUAAAAUCACAAUUUCAAAACAUUUAUAUCUAAACCGUGGUCGAGUUAAAUAUUACACUAAUAAUCCACUUUGUUUUAUUUAAAUAAUUUUCUUAUUAUUCCCUUGCCCAGGCCCAGUAACAUGCGACAUCAUUUACUCCGAUACAAAUAGACAGUGUGCGCGCUUUAGGUAUUGACAGCCUCUUAAUCAAUAGGGUUGUUUCCAUCUACAAAUCAUGGGGCAGAAUUGUAUCCCAAUAAAUUCUUUUGGAUUAUAAGAACAUGUUAAACUACUUUUAGGGAACCUGUAAUGACCAUAUUUUUGUAAAUAUUGAAUUUAAAAUAUCUUUUGGCACACGUCACGUGACCAAACUCGAAACGUCAUUGAAGAUUCUGAUGACGUCACAACUCUCGGAUUGACACUAUUGACAGCGAUAAACAACAAAUGACAAAUGUCAUUUGACAGUUCGUAUCUUCUACGUGUGUAUGUAGUUAUGUUUCAAACCGUAAACUGUGACGUCACACAAUUUUCAAAGAGCGUUUUGGGCGCGAAAGCAUCUGUCAAAAUAUAUUUUGUUAAUUUAACAUAUUUAAAGCCGUUUUUAGUAUAAAAGUUGAAUUUUAGGGCAAGUUUUAGUUAAUAUAGAACGUAAUACAAGCGUUUCAAAAAUUUGGAAACAACCCUAUUCUCUUUGGUGUAUAGGAAAAUAGCCUAUAUGUGAUGAAAAAUAGGUACGUUAUAUUUAACUAGACUUAUUAAUUUAAGCAUUUAAGCAUUUUUUGUCCAUUAAUGAUAAGAUUUAUAUUUGAGUCAAUUCUGACUGCUAUGGCUGCUGUAUUUAUUAUCCAAUAAAUUAUUUUGUUUAAUUAAA